RNAcentral lists this long non-coding RNA (325 nucleotides) under Fragaria vesca (wild strawberry). RNAcentral's name for it is "long non-coding RNA (FVES_LNC005583)". Lineage: Eukaryota; Viridiplantae; Streptophyta; Magnoliopsida; Rosales; Rosaceae. The record is from RNAcentral.
GUAUAAUAUAGAGAAGUAAAUGUAAAUCACCAUGGAAGGGGAGAAGCUGUUUCAUGGUGGCUGUAUAUAGUAACUGAAAUAGUCAAAAGCCUGUUUCCAGGCAAAAACCAGGUAGCUUUGGACUUUUGAGAUUCUUGGUUGAGCUAUAUCAAGGAGCAAUGUACCAGCCUCAAUCCGAAUGAUGCACCUGCAAGUCUUUGGCGACAGCGCUGGAUAUACUAGUACUGAUAUUUGUACGAAAUAGGUAUGCCUGCCAUUCAACUCAGUAUUUUGAAACCUGAGUGUUGCAAUGGAAAUGGCAAGCAGUUUGCUAGUAUUAUGUAAU